ACAGGAGUUUUGAAAACUGGAUGGGCCCCUCUCUUUGUGCCUUCAGAUUCAAAAUCGGGUUGAUUUGGUGAGGAUUUGGGGAGGAGUAGGGAUGGAUUAGGAUUCAGGGAGGGGUGAUGGUUGUAGAUCCAGAUUUUGGGUGUUGGUUGGUGUUCUUCUGUGGUGAAAAAUGGUGGAGCUAGGGUUCAAGGGUCUCUGAUGAAUGAGAGAGAAGAAGGAC
RNAcentral lists this long non-coding RNA (220 nucleotides) under Nicotiana benthamiana. RNAcentral describes it as "long non-coding RNA (NBEN_LNC022106)". The record is from RNAcentral. Lineage: Eukaryota; Viridiplantae; Streptophyta; Magnoliopsida; Solanales; Solanaceae.